RNAcentral lists this ribosomal RNA (448 nucleotides) under uncultured bacterium. RNAcentral describes it as "bacterial SSU rRNA". It matches the Rfam family "Bacterial small subunit ribosomal RNA", at positions 28 to 493 of the family's 1533-position model. The record is from RNAcentral.
GACGAACGCUGGCGGCAUGCCUUACACAUGCAAGUCGAACGGCAGCACGGGGGCAACCCUGGUGGCGAGUGGCGGACGGGUGAGUAAUGCAUCGGAACGUGCCCUGAAGUGGGGGAUAACGCAGCGAAAGCUACGCUAAUACCGCAUAUUCUGUGAGCAGGAAAGCAGGGGAUCGCAAGACCUUGCGCUUUGGGAGCGGCCGAUGUCGGAUUAGCUAGUUGGUGGGGUAAAGGCCUACCAAGGCGACGAUCCGUAGCGGGUCUGAGAGGAUGAUCCGCCACACUGGGACUGAGACACGGCCCAGACUCCUACGGGAGGCAGCAGUGGGGAAUUUUGGACAAUGGGCGGAAGCCUGAUCCAGCCAUGCCGCGUGAGUGAAGAAGGCCUCGGUUGUAACGUACUUCUAGCAGGACGAAGACGAAGUAGACUGUACUCGCAGAAGAAGACA